AUCCAAACUACACCCCAGCUGUGGUAAUUCCAUUCAUCAUAGGCGUAUGUUGGCCCAUCCCUGGGCAGAUUGUGAUCUUUCCUUUCUUUGACAGUUUUCUCCUGUAUUCCAGAUUCAUCCUCUCCUCCCAU
Molecule: long non-coding RNA, 131 nt
Filed under: Vombatus ursinus (common wombat)
Lineage: Eukaryota; Metazoa; Chordata; Mammalia; Diprotodontia; Vombatidae
Description: lncRNA (ENSVURG00010006074.1)
Source: RNAcentral